RNAcentral lists this ribosomal RNA (274 nucleotides) under uncultured bacterium. RNAcentral's name for it is "partial 16S ribosomal RNA". It matches the Rfam family "Bacterial small subunit ribosomal RNA", at positions 523 to 796 of the family's 1533-position model. The record is from RNAcentral.
AUACGGAGGGUGCAAGCGUUACUCGGAAUCACUAGGCGUAAAGCGCGCGCAGGCGGUCUUUUAAGUUGGAUGUGAAAGCCUAUGGCUCAACCAUAGAACUGCAUCCAAAACUAUUUAGCUAGAGUGUGGGAGAGGAAGAUGGAAUUAGUUGUGUAGGGGUAAAAUCCGUAGAGAUAACUAGGAAUACCAAAAGCGAAGGCAAUCUUCUGGAACACUACUGACGCUGAGGCGCGAAAGCGUGGGGAGCAAACAGGAUUAGAAACCCUAGUAGUCC